UAGGGAAUCUUCGGCAAUUGGGGGAACCCUGACCGAGCAACGCCGCGUGAGUGAAGAAGGUUUUCGGAUCGUAAAGCUCUGUUGUUAAGGAAGAACGAGUGUGAGAAUGGAAAGUUCAUGCUGUGACGGUACUUAACCAGAAAGGGACGGCUAACUACGUGCCAGCAGCCGCGGUAAUACGUAGGUCCCGAGCGUUGUCCGGAUUUAUUGGGCGUAAAGCGAGCGCAGGCGGUUAGAAAAGUCUGAAGUGAAAGGCAGUGGCUCAACCAUUGUAGGCUUUGGAAACUGUUUAACUUGAGUGCAGAAGGGGAGAGUGGAAUUCCAUGUGUAGCGGUGAAAUGCGUAGAUAUAUGGAGGAACACCGGUGGCGAAAGCGGCUCUCUGGUCUGUAACUGACGCUGAGGCUCGAAAGCGUGGGGAGCGAACAGG
This 429-nucleotide ribosomal RNA is filed under the name Bacteroidota bacterium. RNAcentral describes it as "Bacteroidetes bacterium partial 16S ribosomal RNA". It matches the Rfam family "Bacterial small subunit ribosomal RNA", at positions 355 to 776 of the family's 1533-position model. The record is from RNAcentral. Lineage: Bacteria; Pseudomonadati; Bacteroidota.